GGGGGGGGGGGGAGAAGUGCCCUUUUAGUUGUAAAAUACUACGUGAUAAAUCACAUUUCCAACGAUGCUUUUUCUAGGAAAAUCAUGAGAUUCAGGCAAUUUAUAGUUUAUAUUUGACUUUCGCAUAUUUUAAAGACAGUGUCCUAUAAAUACGUGAAGUAUCGUAAAGUUCCUGAAACCCGAAGCUAUUAUAUAUUUCGAAUUUCCCAAUUUAAUACCCACACUGAAACAAUUAACAUGUAGUACUACAGAUAUACUCGAUAAAUGUAUAGUGUUCUAUACUGAAUUCUACAUAUCAGCAGACAUAGGUAAACA
Molecule: non-coding RNA, 315 nt
Organism: Paramuricea clavata
Lineage: Eukaryota; Metazoa; Cnidaria; Anthozoa; Malacalcyonacea; Plexauridae
Source: the annotation of a GenBank genome assembly